Molecule: long non-coding RNA, 292 nt
Filed under: Erythranthe guttata (spotted monkey flower)
Lineage: Eukaryota; Viridiplantae; Streptophyta; Magnoliopsida; Lamiales; Phrymaceae
Description: long non-coding RNA (EGUT_LNC002555)
Source: RNAcentral
UUCCAAGUAAGUGUUCUUUCUAUUUGGCUAAAAAUAUUAACUUUCCCCGAUUUUUUUCUUCUUGGGAUUCGGGUUGUUUCUGCUCUUUGUUUUUAUUUCGAUUUUCUUGAUUUGGCGACUCUUUUGAUGCUCUUUGUGGUUUCUUGCUGGUUGUCAUGACUGGACCUUUGUUUGGUUUUUUAACAUAGGUGUGGAAACUUGAUGAAGAUAGAGUGCCAUUGGUGGUUGGUGUUUGAGUGGCCUCUCUGUUUUAUAAUCAUGCAAGUUAUAACUCAUGUUGAAAAUUAUAAAA